Molecule: long non-coding RNA, 3145 nt
Organism: Chroicocephalus ridibundus (black-headed gull)
Lineage: Eukaryota; Metazoa; Chordata; Aves; Charadriiformes; Laridae
Exons: 5
Source: RefSeq, a predicted model, not a curated record
CGCCGGCCGACGAGGAGGGUGGGCUGCCCAAUCACAGGGGGAGCCACCGGGUGAUUGACGGCGGCCACGCGCCCGGCCGGCCAAUGGCAGCGGCUCCUCUGCGAGUUGGGGCGGGAUUACCUGCCCCAAGUCAGGCACUCCUGAUUGGCCCAGGCCGGCCGCGCUCGCUGUGUGCCGCAGGAAACCCUGUGCAUUUCUUCUCGGCGGUGGCGGCGGCAGCACCAGCCCCGGCCCCAACCAGCAGCAGCCGCGUCCCCGCACGAAUCAGAGCGGCAUCUAUUUUCAGGUCCAUUGGAGGGACCAGAUAUGCCAGAUGUGUCCAGACUGUGGAUCUGUUAACCUUCAAGCAGAGAGGAGCACUGGCACACCGCUGAGAACCACGUGUCAAGAACGAAAAUAAAGCCCUGGUUAUUGGAGUCCCAAGGAACAGCAGCAGGAUGAGUAUGACUUACACGGGAAGCUCAUGGCAGGAGUAUGCAUUGGGGAAGUCCUGAUCCAGGGAAGGUGAGGAACCAGCACAUAGCACUGUCCAAGGCUGACAGCUCAUCUGAAGAGGAUCCUGAGGCUUUCUCAGGCUCUCCUGAAACGCUAAAGCAUGUGGGAGUUUGACCAUCAGAGCCCAAAUCCGUGAGCUGUGGUAGACCUGAGAGAAGUGGUUUCUGACAUAUCUGAUGCCUUCAGUGCUUAUUUCUCCUUCCUUUUCCUUGCCCAGCUGGGAUGUUUUUGCAAGGUGUCUGUGAUGUUUCUCAGCAGUGUUUUUGAUAUUUGCCAGUAAUGCCUGUGCCUGGUUGCUGGGCUUGUUUGGGAGCAGCUUGCUGGAAUACUCUUAUCUGGGAAAUGUCUCCUGUGAGAUGUUUGUUCUCUGUGAGGAGUUUUGGUUUUUUUCCUUUUUUUUUUUUAAAAAAACAGGCCUGUUGUGUGAGAGCAUGCAGAAAAUCUGUUUGUUGGCCAUGUUCUGUAGUAUCUGUCAUAAAAAGACAAUAUCUGUAAAAUUGUCUGGUCCUGUAAAUAUUCUUGCUGAUAAACUUGAGAGUAUCAACAGAGAGAGCAAAGCGCUGUCGUGUGGUAUAGUAAGAAACUUUUUUAGCGUUGGCAUACAAGGGAUCUACUAAACUGUCUAGUUUCUUGUUAGAAUAUGGGUAGGACGGAACAGAUAAAAUUCAACUCUUAGAUGUCAGAGGUGGAAGAGACCCUGAGUGUCCAUUUUGUCCAUUUCCCUGCCUACACGCAGGGUUAACCUAAGCAAAGCUUCGUAAUAGCCGUUUGUCUGUCCGGUGGCAUGGAGUCCAUCCCCUCUCCUGGCAAACUGCUCCACAUCUGAACAGGAUGAACUAGAUGUAUCUAUUCCUGUGGUGUUUGUAGGGAAUCUGGAUCUGUUGUUUCGUUGCAUGCUGGAAGGCAUGAAUUCAUUCCAGAAUAAACUGAGCAUGCAUCUGGUUUAUUUGUGUGCAUGUUUGUGCUUCAAACCCUUGCUUGAGUGGUUGCUCAUGGUGCUGCCCUCUUCUCUCUGCAUUCCCAGAAUUUUUCAGUUUGCGAGCAAUUGUUCUUUGGGGCUCUACAUCUCUGUCCUAAUGAGCUGGGGGAAAGUUUGUCUGACCUGGGAAUCAAUAAGAGCUGCAGAAUAUUCUUGGAGAGUUACUGAAUGGUUUGGCAGGGUGUUUUUACUGCAAAGAUGCUCAGGUAAAAAGUCAUGAUUCCCAGUGUAACACUGUGAAAAUUUACAUUUAUGUCCUCAUUCCUUGUCUGGGUUGUUUUUGUAAGCCCUAGUUUUUGCAGGUUUUGUGCUGUGCAAAAGGAGGGAAGGUUAGUCCUCUCAUUCCUAAGGCUAGGAGAUGCCUUCCUAGCCUUAGGCCUACAAAAUACACACAUGGCUAAGGCAUUGCCAUGUUCUUCACGAUGUCUCCACCAUCGUUCCUUCACCUGUCCCCUGCCCCCUCCUCUGCUAUCUAUACCAGCCCCUUUUCAGUUUGUUAAGCUUAGAGAUAGCCGAUGUACUCCGUUUGCAGUGUGUCCUGGGCCUAAGAGAUGAGUCCUAACUGGUAGGCUUACUUACUGAUGUGCAUUGGAAGUUCCGGGCUUUUGGAGCUGGGUGCUGACUUUGUCCUAGGGACAGCAGGUGAGGAUUAACUUUGACACUGCAACAUCAGGAGGCUGAUGAUCUCGAAGACUGCAGUUUUGGGUUGCUAUAGACCUGGAGACUGCAUGUCACCUGCUGCAAAGAGUUGGUGCACAGGCCCUGUGACCCUGGGCAGACGCAGAAUGUAGUAGAGGGAGGUGAAGCCAGGGUUUCCUGUCCUCUGCUACAUGAGAUGUAAAGCAAUGUAAAGCAUUCCAGGGUGUUUCUGUUGUCCUUUGGUAUGCAUCAGUGGAUAUGAAGAUUGUUCUGAAUCUUCUGAAGUCUGAGGAGCCUGAGAAAAACAGGCAGAUGGUUUGAUUUGUAGCAGGAAAAUAAAAAAAAGUGGGGAAAACAUAACUUAGAAAUCUGUUUCCACCCCUUGUCUCCAAUAAAACUCUUUGGGGUACUAUGCAGAAGGUGUAGGUUUGGAAGGAAAGGAAUCUACCUUUGCAUGCAUCCUGGGAUGCCUGUGAACUUGAGAGCUGAAAUGGGUGGAGCCACGUAGGAACACAGGAACAGUGCUGAACUUUGGGCCAGGACAUGUGGCAGGCCAGAUGGGAAGGAAGCUUGGAAAGAGCAGAUGGCUCCCUAGCUUUUAUAUCUCCCGGUAGCCCCCAAUGCACAUGUAUUUUUGCAGAUAUAUCCCUGAAGCAUCCAGAAGAGUCAAGGAGAUACUCCCCAGAUACAGACUCUGCUUCCUUUUUCAGCUCUGUCUCAGACACUGGCUGGAUGUGACCUGUUGGCAUCUGUGGAACUUUCAGGCUAGACCUCUGCCUUUGGCAAAGUGCAUAUGGCAAAUGGAUGAUAAAAGCUUACUAUUUAAGGGUAUGCAUGGAGGGUGGUGGUGGAGAAGACUCUGCUUUUAUAAACCAGGGCCUUUGAUUAAACAGGCAGUGAGUUCUUGCAAUGGAAAUUAGUUGAGUAGUGCUCUGUCAUCCACGCUGGUUUACUUGCUGUGGGACAUACUGUUGAAGCAUCUUCAUGCCUGGACUUCUGCCACAGAAUAAUCAUGUGGGUUUUAUGUUUCCU